GGGAAAGUAUGAAGUCAUCUUUCUCAUUGCUCUCCUCUUUAAGUCCAAGAGCAAAGUACUUCUAAAAGGCAGGCUUUGUGGUUCGCAUGGAAUGUAAAUAGCUCAAAUGGCCCCACUUCCAAGAAGCCUUCUUUAACCCUAAGGCUGAAUGAAAUAUUUUGGAAUAAUGUAGGCAGCCAAGAGGCUCAUCUCCAAAAGAGAAAAUCAUCAUGAGGGCCACUGUCAUAAGGAAGCCUGGAAGAGUGAAGAAAGGUCUGAUUGAUCACAAGGUCCUAUCAAAUGUCAAAGCUGGCCCUGGCUGACCUCCCAUCUAUUCAGAGCUGCUUUGAUUUAAUCUCCAAACUGGCUGCUUCUCCAGGCUGGAAGAAGAUUGAAAGUUCCAACAAGGCAAAGGUGAUGAAAAUGUCUUCAUGGAAUCUUUGGGUACUAAGGAAAAGAGAAAAUGGAGGAGGGCAAUUACCAAAACAAGAAAUCAUCUAAUAAAACAUGAUCCACAGAACAGGAAGCCUGAUUUCUCUUGUCAAGUCACUAAACAGGCAAGAGCCUUCUCAGAUAUGUCCUGAACACCUUCUCUUUGCCUGACAAGUUCAAGAAAUUAAGUCAAAUAAAUAUUUGAUGGAAAUCUACCUGGCUCCAAAGACUGGGCUUCUAACAAUCCUCUCCACAACGUUUGAAUACAAAAAAAGUAUCCUGCUAAAGGACAGAGCCCCUCCAUCUCUUCCCGCCAAGCUCUCUGCGUGCCUGGUGAGAGGUAUAGCACUUUUGCUUUCUUUUUCAAUUUGCUCUUUAAAUGAGUGACAAUAUCACCUAGUGAUUAAGGACCUGCCUGGAGCUGGGCUGAUGCUUGGAGUUGGGCUGAACCUGAGCCUGAAUUCGAGCUCUUCUUCUUCUUGCUGACUUUGACCCUAGGUGAGUUAAUUUUUCUAAGCUUCAGUUUCUUGGUCUAUAAAAAGGAGGAUGAUAAUUCUUUUCUCACUCAGUAUUGUUUUAAAGAUUAGUAAGAUAAUAUAUGCAACGCAUUUAGCACAGUGCCUUGCACAUGAUAAACCCUGAAUAAAUGGUAGCCAGUUUUAAAAUACAACAUAAUUUUAAGCGUUGGUAUUUCUUAUGACUCCAAUCUCAUCCCUCCUUUUCCAUUGUCACUACAUUUGCUCUGUGUCUCCCAUAUCGAAUCUGGAACUUGCAUUCAAAGCCUUUAUCUCUCAGUGCCAAAAGAGUAGCCCCGCAUGGAUGAACAAAGGUACUCAAAUUCAACAUGCCCAGAAUUAAACCCAGUAAAUGGGGAUUCAGUCACAACCCCAGUCUAUCCACCUAAGGGACAAAGUCCUGGCAGUCACCUAAGACUCCUCAUUAUCUUCAACCCCCAUCCCUGAUCAGUCACCCUAUUGGUUCUAACUUAUAAUAUUCAUUUAUUUUAUCACUACUGCCACAACCUGGGGUCAGACAUCAAACUUCUCUAUUCUGCCCCAUUGUUACCUCUUGACUACAAUCUCUGCCUCAAAUCUAAUCUGACCUCAUUCCUCUAUCUACUCUGCUAUGAAAGAGAUUACAGUUACACAUAUCUAAUUUUAUUACCUUUCCAUAUAAUGGUUCUCCAUUCUCCUGUGGGGUGCAUACAGUUUAGGGAACAUAAAAGUAUUCACUGGGAGCUAAGAAGAAAAUACCAUUUUUUUUUAAAUUUUAUUUUAACAAUUAUUUUGAAUAUAUUUAAAAGUAUUUAUUUAUAAUGUAUGUGAUAUAGUAGUAAAGUAAAGUAAUACAUAUGAGUGAUGGUUAAUUUUAAGUGUGUCUCUGGCUAGGCCACAGUGCCCAGAUAUUUGAUCAAAAAUGUAUGAAUGUUACUCUGAAGAUAUUUUUUUAGAUCAAAUUAACAUCUAGGGGAGUACCCAUUGUGGCUCAGUGGAAAUGCCUCCAACUAGUAACCACGAGGGUACAGGUUGGAUCCCUGGCCUUGCUCAGUGGGGAGCUGUAGUGUAGGUCACAGAUGUGGCUCAGAUCCUGAGUUGCUGUGGCUGUGGUAUAGGCCAGCAGCUGUAGCUCCAAUUCAACCCCUAGCCUGGGAACUUCCAUAUGCCGCAAGUGUGGCCCUAAAAAACACAAUAAAAUAAUAUAAACAUCUAAAUCAAUAGAUUUGUAGUAAAGCAGAUUACCCUCCAUAAUGUGGGUGGGCCUCUAUCAAUCAGUUGAAAGCUUCAAGAUAAAGACUGACUUCUCCCAAAGGAGGGAGAAUUUUGCCAGCAGGUUGCUAAAGGUUGCUAAAAUAUCAAAUCGUUGCUAGUAUCUAACUUACAGUCUACCCUGCAGAUUUUGGACUUGCCAGCCUCCACAAUCAUGUGAGUCAAUUCCUAAAAAUAAAUCUCUCUCUCUAUCUCUCUCUCCCUCUCUCUCUCUCUCUCUCUCGAGUGUGUGUGUGUGUGUGUGUGUGUGUGUGUGUGUGUAUCCUUUUGGUUCUGUCUCUCUGAAGAAGCUUGACUACUACAGUAAUUUUAAAAUGUAUAUAAUAUGUUCAAAAGUUUUUCAGAACCAAUGUUGUAAAGCUUUUUUUUCCAUAGUUUUUCACUAGGAGUUUUAGAAUUUCAGGUCUUCCAUUUAAGUCUGUUAUCCAUUUUGAAUUGAUUUUUGUAUAUGUUGUAACAUGAGGUCUAGUGUCACUCUUUUUUGCAUGUAAAUUUCCAGAUUUCCAACACCGUUUGUUGAAGAGACUAUCUUUUCCCCAUUUUGUACUCUUGACAAAAACCAGUUGACCACAUGGGCACACAUUUAUUUCUGGGCUCUCUGUUUGGUUCCACUGGUUUGUAUGUUGGUCUUUAUGCCAGUAUAUACUAAUUUGAUUAUGGUAGCUUUGUAGUGUAUUUCAAAAUAAGGAAAUAUGAUGCCUCCAGGCUUGUUCUCUUUCAAGAUUGUUUGAGCUAUUCAUAUAUUUUGUGGGUUCAUAUAGAUUUAGAAAUGUCAUUGGGAUUUUGAUAUGGAAUGUGUUGUGUUGAAUUUGUAGAUUGCUUUGGGCAACAUGGACAUUUUAACAAUAUUAAAUCUUACAAACCAUGAAUACAGGUUUUCAUUUGUUUGUGGUCUUUAAUUUCUCGUAUCAGUGUUUUGUACUUUUUAUUAUAGAAGCGUUUUGCCUCCAUAGUUGUUUAUCCCUAAGUAAUUUAUUCUUUUUGAUGCUAUUUUAAAUGGAAUUGUCAUCCUAAUUUCCUUUCAAGGUGCUUUGUUGUUAGUGUAUAGAGAUGCAAUUGAUUUUCAUAUAUUGAUUUUUUUUUUAUCUUGCAACUUGAUUAAAUGUAUUUAUUAGUUUUAAACACUAUUCUUAUGGAGGCUAUAUGUAUAUAGAUAGAUAGAUAUACACACAUACAUAUGUGAUUGUACUGUCUACAAUCAAGAAAAAUUUACUUCUUCCUUUCCAGUUUGGAUGUCUUUUUUUCUUUUUCUUGUCUAAUUUUUCUGGCUAGGCACAAAAAAAUAAAUAAAUAAACAAAUAAAAAACAAUAGCCUGGGAACCUCCGUAUGCCGUAGGAAGUGGCCCUAGAGAAAAAAAAAGGCAAAAAGACAAAAAAUAAAAAUAAAAACUAAAGUAAAAAAUAAUUUUUCUGGCUAGGACUUCUAGUAUUGUGUUGUGCCGAGACCAGCUCAGCAGGAUGGGGCUGAAGAAUGAGUGCUGUGAAACUUAAGGAAAAAAGUUAACAUAAAACAAGACAUAGAGACAUUUAUCUUAAGUAAAGGUGGGAACUGGGGGACUCAAGGUCUCAGGGACCAAGAGCACCGCCUUAAGAAACCACACUGCUUUUAUUGUGUUUUUUAGGAUUAUGUCAAGUGAGAAGGGGGUUGUAGGUGCAGGAUAUAGUUUUUUUAAGUUAUUUUAAAGGUCACAUAGCCGGUUGCUGAUUAAGCUUUUACUCUGACCUUUAGGCAUUUAACAAUCAUUAGCAUUUGAGGAAGCUUGGCGUCAGCUAUCUAUGCAUAGUACCUAAAGAAUCACCAUUGUGCUUCUGCAGACGAGGUGCCUAUCUGCAGCAACCCUGCAUGCCUAGGUUUGCACCUCGGUUCUUCUUUGCUAAUGCAUAUCCAGCUAAAAACCCCUUGGGGCCAUGGGGCUCCUCUUUUAUUCUUAAGAGGACAUAUCAUGCUGUGCAAAUGGCGUGCCAAUCUGCACAGGUCCAGCGUGCCUAGACCAACGCAUUAAGUCCUCUUUCAGCUGACCCUAUGAAUACCUUAUGCCUUUAGGUCUUUGUUCUUAAGCUUAAGUCAUUCACCAUCACUGUGACUGUUUUUCAAGCAGCAAGAUGGGGUAAAGUAAAGCAAGACAAGAUAGAGUUUUUAGCAAAGAGGCUAAGAAAAUAUUGUAGAAAUGUCUCGCGACAGUGUUGAAAGAAGUGGGCAUCCAUUCUUUGUUCAUAAUCUUAGAGAAAAACUUUUAAGUUUUUCAUCACUGAGUGUGAUGUUAGCUGUGGGCUUUUCAUAUAUGUUUUUUAUUAUAUUGAAGCACUUUUUUCUAUUUCUGGAUUAUUGAGAGUUUUAUCAUGAAAGGGUAUUAAAAUUUUGUCAAAUGCUUUUUAUGCAUUUGUUAGGAUUAUCAUGUGACUUUUAUCCAUUAUUCUGUUAUUGUUAAGUGGUAUAUCACAUGACACUGGGCUUAGCAAUAAUUUCAUGGAUAUCACACCAAAAACACAAGCAACAAAAGAAAAAAUAAAGAAGUGUGUACCCAUAUUAACUUAAAAAAUUUAUGCACAGUAAAAAA
Molecule: long non-coding RNA, 4735 nt
Filed under: Sus scrofa (pig)
Lineage: Eukaryota; Metazoa; Chordata; Mammalia; Artiodactyla; Suidae
Description: lncRNA (ENSSSCG00030023621.1)
Source: RNAcentral